AGUGAACGCUGGCGGUAGGCCUAACACAUGCAAGUCGAACGGCAACAUAGUAAGCGCUCGCCCUUAAGGGUGGCGAGUGGCGGACGGGUGAGGAAUACAUAGGCAUCUACUUUUUCGUGGGGGAUAACGUAGGGACACUUACGAUAAUACCGCAUAUGUCCUACGGCAUAAAUCAAUGGUUAUUCGGAGCUUGCCCGUUUCAAUUAGCUGAUGCCGGAUUACCUAGUUUGGGGGGUAAAGGCCCAACAAGGCGAGGCUACGGAGCUGGACUGAGAGGAGGAACAGGCCAAACGGAACUGGAACACGGGCCAGAAUCCUAAGGGAGGGAGGAGUGGGGAAUAUUGGAGAAUGGGCGGAAGCCUGAUCGAGGCAUACCGGGUGGGUGGAGAAGGCUCUCGGGUUGGAAAGCCCUUGUGAUGGGAAAGAAAAGCAGGAGGUUAAUACCCCGCUGGUCUGACGGUACCCAAAGAAUAAGCACCGGCUAACUUCGUG
RNAcentral lists this ribosomal RNA (492 nucleotides) under uncultured bacterium. RNAcentral's name for it is "partial 16S ribosomal RNA". It matches the Rfam family "Bacterial small subunit ribosomal RNA", at positions 29 to 507 of the family's 1533-position model. The record is from RNAcentral.